This 542-nucleotide ribosomal RNA is filed under the name uncultured bacterium. Its description in RNAcentral is "bacterial SSU rRNA". It matches the Rfam family "Bacterial small subunit ribosomal RNA", at positions 355 to 893 of the family's 1533-position model. The record is from RNAcentral.
UAGGGAAUCUUCGGCAAUGGGGGGAACCCUGACCGAGCAACGCCGCGUGAGUGAAGAAGGUUUUCGGAUCGUAAAGCUCUGUUGUUAAGGAAGAACGAGCGUGAGAAUGGAAAGUUCAUACUGUGACGGUACUUAACCAGAAAGGGACGGCUAACUACGUGCCAGCAGCCGCGGUAAUACGUAGGUCCCGAGCGUUGUCCGGAUUUAUUGGGCGUAAAGCGAGCGCAGGCGGUUAGAUAAGUCUGAAGUUAAAGGCAGUGGCUCAACCAUUGUAGGCUUUGGAAACUGUUUAACUUGAGUGCAGAAGGGGAGAGUGGAAUUCCAUGUGUAGCGGUGAAAUGCGUAGAUAUAUGGAGGAACACCGGUGGCGAAAGCGGCUCUCUGGUCUGUAACUGACGCUGAGGCUCGAAAGCGUGGGGAGCGAACAGGAUUAGAUACCCUGGUAGUCCACGCCGUAACGAUGAGUGCUAGGUGUUAGGUCCUUUCCGGGACUUAGUGCCGCAGCUAACGCAUUAAGCACUCCGCCUGGGGGGGGGGCAGUU